Molecule: long non-coding RNA, 6259 nt
Filed under: Ostreococcus sp. 'lucimarinus'
Lineage: Eukaryota; Viridiplantae; Chlorophyta; Mamiellophyceae; Mamiellales; Bathycoccaceae
Description: long non-coding RNA (OLUC_LNC000055)
Source: RNAcentral
GGUGAGCAAUCGGGCCUAGUGCGUCGAUAAGUGAUGAUAAUUACAAUCAGUUGUGGUUAGUUCAUUAAUGAGUGUUAACUCGUCAAUUAGUCCCGCUAGGUUACUAGGGGAAGCUACUAUAUUUCAUAUUUUACUCUUCAGAUUUCUAACACACCUCCUUAGCUUUCUCUAGUCUGAGGGCUUACCAAUACCUUUGAAAGGUUGGAUUUCCUCACUUUCGACCUUCUCGAGAUAUUCUUGAAAUGUGUGCAGAGCGUCACUCUUCACCAUACCUUCACUCAACCUCUGGUUGAUGAAGUCUCGUAUGUCCUUCGAAGAUAUAUGACUUAACAUCACGUUGAAGUGAUUAGAACACUCGUGAACGUCUGCUGGACCUGAAAAGUUCUUCUUGUUCGGCAAUAUCUUUGUCAACAUAUCGGCUAAGUUGUGUGAUGAUCCUAUGUUAAAUGGCUGUAUAAUCCCUUCUCUGUGAGCAUAAUGUUGGAUCCAGGAGUAUCUUAUUUCCAUAUGCUUGUUUGACUUAGACGACAUAGUUUCCAUUGCCUGUCGAAUGGCUGUCGUAUUAUCGCAGAAGAGUGGUACUCUUGACAGUUUAAAUCCAAGCUCUCGAAACAACAAAAUUUGAAAGAAUAAAUCUUUCGCGGCUUCAUACAUUGCCAUGAACUCUGCUUGCGCUGAACUCGUGGCUGGUAUUCCUUGCAGUUUGCUCUUCCAAUUGGUAGGGCCGCAUGAAAAAGAUAUAUACCCCGAUGUGGAUUUUCUUCCGCAUCUAUCUUUCGAAUUUAAGGAUAACUUUUGGCCUGCCCAAUCCGAGUCUGUAAAUCCUGCAAGUCUCACUAUACCAUUGCAUUCAGCACCGUUGUAGGUUAAUGGAAUAUUGGGGUUCCUCUUGAGAUAUCCAACCGCUCUGCAUAAAGCGCUAAAUUGCUUAUGCGUUGGGUUACUUGCUACCCUUCCAGCUAGACUGCAUACCACAGCAAGAUCUGGUCGAGUAGCAGUAUUAAACCAAUUCAGACUUCCCAGCACUUGUUGAUAUGUUGUCCGCUUCAUCCUGUCUACUGCAUCUGUGUCAUCCUCCUUGGCGAGAACAAACGUAUCUGAUGGUAGUAAUGGCGAAUUGCAAGCAUUGAUAUCUUGCACAGGACAUUUUGCCAGAAACUGCGCAAUUGAAUAUUCUUGGUUGAGUGUGUAACAAUUCUUCCCUAAUCUCUUUAUAUGGAUGCCGUUGUACACCUUUAUCCUUUCAAAUUGCGAAACUUUGUAAAUUCUGGAAAAUUCUUUGUGGAACUGCUUGACAACCUCAUCGUUCUCAGCGGUUAUCAGAAGAUCAUCUACCAAUACUGAAAUGAUCAUGAAGGGCUUGCUAUUGCUCAUCUUAACAAACAAACAGCUAUCCUUACAUAAUUGGUUCAAACCCAGAGACCUUAGAGUCUUGGUUACAUGCAAAUACCAACACCGUCCCGCUUGCUUUGUGCCAUACAAGGGUCUGCGUAACUUGUAGACCAUUCCUUUCGGAAGCGGAUGUGACCUUGGGGCCUUGACGUAUAUAUCAUCUAGGAGUUCCCCUUGCGUGUAAGCUUGGGAUACAUCUAUCGUAAAGAUGUCCCAUCCUAAUAUCGCCGCCAAGUUUAUGAGUAUCCUAAAUGUGGUCAUGGAAGCAACGGCACUAAAUGUGUCGUGGUAGUCCUUCAACCAAACUUGGGUGAAUCCUUGCACUACCAAUCUAGACUUAAGGGAACCAUCUGGUUUUACCUUAUCUACCCAUUUGGAUCCACAAAUAUUUGCAUCUCCGGCUUCAACAAUACUGACCUCCAUUAAUGUGGUUUCGAGCAAUCCAUUGAGCUCUUUUGCUCUGCUCUCUGAGAAAUCCACACUUGACUCAUCAAUAAUUUUACCGUAUUCUUCGCCUUUUGCGACGGCUGUGGCUAGCACACUGUGUGCUGCCCUAUUUGUCGAAUCAGCGUUAUUUAGCGCAGGAUUCAAUUUUACCGUUUUAUCGCCGUAACUCCCGCCCUGGAGCUGGAUAUGCGAAUACUUACAUGUGAGGUAGAUAACCUGUUUCUUGAGCUCAUCCUCAGAAACUCUACCAUUCUCUUUGAAGUGGUUAACGAGAUGUUCAAUAUCGUCAGUCGGUUGAUCAGUCCCAACAUCAGCAUUGUUCUCUGCGUCAACACCUCCUUCAACUUCUUCAAGGAUCUCUGGAGAAAACCCGCUAGGCCCCCAGCCUGGAUACUUAUCCUGAAGGCUACUCUGGUCCAUCCUUGUCCGUUCCCUCGCAAAUUCGAGAAAAUCCUCGACUAGACCAGCAUUGGCGUUAUUGAGCGCCGGAACUACAUCGCUAGCGUUAUUGAGCGCUGAGCCAGCGUUAUUUAGCGCUGCUUCGGCGUUAUUGAGCGCCGGAAAUGGUUCGCUAGCGUUAUUGAGCGCUGAGCCAGCGUUAUUUAGCGCUGCUUCUCCCCCGGACUGCGGAUAAUCCUCGUCAAGAUCGUCAUCUUCGCAAUCACUUUCAGAUUUGUAUCCUUGGUCCUCCUUUUGAGAAUCCAACAAAUCAUUCAACCAAUCGUCCAGGUCACGGCGGUCGGAAAGCUCCGGUGGGAGGAUAACAAGCUCCGGUGGGAGGAUACUAUUGUCGGUUAGCUCUGUUCGGUCUCCUGUUAAUCCAGGAUGCUCCCCAUUCUGUGCAUUCACCGACCCAGCGUUAUUGAGCGCCGGUCUAUUUACAUAAUUUUCAUGGUCGAAGAUCAACUCCGACGUUUCUUGAACAUAACCUGGUGCUGAUCCUUGGCGUUUCAGGAUGCUGUUGGACAAAACCACAACAUAUUUCUUCGGGUGCAAAGUUACACUAGAGUAACCUAUGAACCACACUGGAAAUCUACUCACACACCAAUCCGGCCUUGAAGCCGGGUGCUGAUUACUCAAAUUUUGAGCAAUCACAUUCCGCGCCAUAUACGCCUUACAACCAAAUGGAUGUAAGACUUGGAUAUCCACACCGUGUCCAAAAACUUCAUAAUACGGAGAUUGCAACUUAUUGUGCACUUUGACUCCAGUUAUAUUUCUUACUGUGGCGGCGUACUUCAUGGCAUAUACCCAAAACUCACUCGGCACGCCACUUGCUAUCAAGAGCUUUUUGGCGAUUAUCUUGAGUGCUUGAUUCGUCCUUUCUGCUACGCCAUUUUGCCACGGAUGUCCUACAUCACUCUUGGAAAAUACCAUUCCAUGAUCAUCACAGAAUUUUCCAAAUGUAGACUUGAUAUCGCCACCACCAUCGGAGUGUAUCCGCUUGAGUCGAAUUUCUCCAUCUUGAUGGUAUCUUCUGCGGUGGUCUUGUAUUAACGCUAGAUCGCGCUUAAAUUCCUUAAGCGCAUGUGUCAGUGACCUUUCCUCAACGGUGGACGGCCGAUUGCUCUCUACGGGGUAGACCAGCUGGAAUCUGGUAUACUCAUCUGUAACGGUCAAACAUGCCUUUUGAUCUACAAUCUUACAAACCAUAGAACCUCUUGGCGGUCCGAAAGUCACGUCCAUGUGGACAAUUUCAAACGGUUUUGUACAUCGCUUGGUACUCCUCUUACCGUGAUUCGUUUGUCUUGUAUGACCUAUCUUGCAUGUGACGCAAUUAUCGGCAGCAUUAUUCAACUUUGCUUGUAGCUCGUCCAGAGGUUUGUCACUUGUUAUCCAACUAUUGUUGAAUGCAGUAAGUAAUGUAUUACUUGACACAUGGCCAAGUGUAUCAUGUAUUAACGUCGGUAUCCAGAAUAUGGGCCGUUUUGACGAUAUAUCUAUCACCGGCAAUCCAUCGUGACGUCGACGAACAUUAACAUCAUGAUAUUUUCCAUCUUCAUCUGGUAAUUUGAUACUUCCGCCGGAGUCAUUUAGGCUAAUCGGGUAACCUGUGCAUGAUAAUAUUCCGGCUCCUGGAAGAUCGGCUCCAGGGGCACAGUUUGCCUCGAAAUGGAAUUCAAAAUGUUUUCCUUCCGUGUCAACUAGAUCAACCUUUGCAACUCCUGAUUUGGUCACUACCGUAGUGCCGUUGAUAGAGGUCAAGAUUUCGUUUCCUCGAGACUUCACGUUGUGCAACUUUAGUGCAUCAUUUAUUACACUCACACACGCUCCACUGUCGACCAGUAAAGUAUUUUUGUUGCCUAGAUGAUAUGUCUCGAGGAUUAUCGGUCACUCGUCUUUCUCUUUUGGAUCAGACUCGUUCCCUCUUGGUUUCUUAUUGGCAAACUUGUCUACCCGCCGCUGCAGAUCAGGACGUAACGGCGAUUUACACUCCCAAUACCUGUGACCUUUCCUGUUACAGUUGAAGCAAGCUCCUUUCGGCUGAAACUUCUUCCGCUUCAGAUUAUUCACAGCAAGCUGUUUAGGUGAUGUCUCCUGAUCGAGUUUAUCAGCUAUAACAAGCUUAUUCGUGCAUUUGGUAAAGUCCAGUUUGUCGCGCUGCUGGGAAAGUAACUCCUCACACACCUUUUUGACAUUCGUUCGAGACAGCGGAGACGCCAACAACAUAACGAGUAUUGUUUCGGUGAAACCACUGAAUUCGAUCGUUUCCGAAGUGGUGAGUUCGUUCCCAUUUAUCGUGAACGCAGAUUGAACCUGCCGACGCAACCUCAGCCCGUUGUUGAGUCUAACUUGACUAUCAUUUGGGAGGGAAGUAAACAAUUUUCUUUUGUUACCCAAGAAUUCCGCCAUGUUUCCGGAUCCAGUGUACUUUAUGUCAUUUAACCGAUUCUCUACGAGAGUUUGGAUCGUUGAGUAAGGGUCUAAUUCCAGAAGUAAUCUGUCUAACAAAGUAAUCCCCGACCAAGUCGCUCUUGACGCUCUCAUGUCGCUUACGAGCUUCUUGAGUUGUUCAGGAAAUACAUUUGAUAAAUCAAAAACGCCGUCAGCCAGUUCUUGAUCCGCAACAUCGAGCGGUACCAAUGUCCUAUCCGGAUGUAACUUCUCAUAGUCUUUCACUGUAACACGAUUAUUCUCAGCGUUAGCAGGUGGUAACCCCGGGAGUCCGUUGGAAUCCCUUUCAUCCUGCAUUACGUUGUAAACGUAUUUACACAAAUCGAUGUUAUCACGGAAUGUAAUAUCCAGCGAAGCUACGAUUGCGGUGAUCCUGCAAAGAUCCAUAUUGGCAUUUUUAUACUUUGCAUCAAUGUAGUGGCGCAACAGCUUAUCCGCAGCGAUCGACACACUGACGGCCUCCGUUUUCCUUCUUCCGUUGAUUUUAGAAGAUGUAAACCUGUAGUUCAAAGAUUGAACCAUUAAAUCUAUAAAUUCGACUACGUUGUCGCCUUGAACACCGCUCUUGAAACGCGUGAACGACGCCAGGUCCGUUGGUAGGAACGCUUCCGACAUCUUGCUUUGGUUAAGCGUUUUAAGGCGUUACUAAAUUUAGAAUCUUCUAAAAAUAGAACGAUUCGCUCUAAAAAUAGAACGACUCUUUACAAACCGAUCGAGGCGCAAAAGGCACUCUUCCGAUUGACACUAAUCGUAGGUCCACGCUAGCGUGCUGCACGUCGUCGCAGAUGGCAGAAUCGUACGAUGCGAGCUAUACCUUAUAUGAUGGUGAGCAAUCGGGCCUAGUGCGUCGAUAAGUGAUGAUAAUUACAAUCAGUUGUGGUUAGUUCAUUAAUGAGUGUUAACUCGUCAAUUAGUCCCGCUAGGUUACUAGGGGAAGCUACUAUAUUUCAUAUUUUACUCUUCAGAUUUCUAACACACUUCGACUAUGUAUCACGAAUGCGGAUCCUCGCACUUGAGAAACCUCGGAUUUAUACGUCGCGAUGGGUGUCGUGCGUGAGAAACCUUGGGUUUAUAAGUCGCAAUAGAUGUCGUGCGUGCUUGGCUUGUCUGAUGCUGAUUCAUACGCGCUAAGUCUAUAUGUAGGUCUAGUUCGUGUACAAGUAGUGUAGACAUGCACGUCAGCAACAAAAAACUCCGCCGGUGCAUUUGGCUUGAAAAAGUUCGAGCUCUAUCACUAGAUGCGACCUACCAAUGAUCACACCGUUCGUGUUCCUCUUAACCAACUUUGCUUGUGUGCUUCUCUGUCGGAUAUCUUGUCAUUCUUGACCUUCUCGAAAUUUGUCUCUAUCCAAUCCAUGAUCCACUUGCCCCACUCAUGAAUAUGGCGACUCCAGACGUCGACUUCAUUCCAAGAUCUGAUUUUCCAGGAAAUAAUUCUUCAUUUACAAAGUUCGAAUCACUAAACGCUGCCGGACAUAUACUCGAGUCCUUCCUGAAGUACAGUUCUACGACUUAAAAUGUUCGUCAA